UGGUGCUUGCUCCCUGGCCCUGCCAUUACGUAAGUAGUAUCCAUAGUCUAAUUGAGAUGGUAUAGAUUUGAGAUAAAUGACAGGAAAGAAUGUGGAGAUUACCCGUUCUUCUUAAACAUUCUCCAUGCAACCCAGCCCACAGGAUAUUGGACAGCUUACCUAGAUUUAAGGGUCAGACUCCUGAUCAGGUGCCAGCUUCCCUUCAACACUCCAGCAGCAGCCCUCCUGGGGGCUUCUGGCAUGGCACGUGGGCAGGAAUUAAAAACUAAAGGGAUCA
Molecule: long non-coding RNA, 277 nt
Filed under: Ictidomys tridecemlineatus (thirteen-lined ground squirrel)
Lineage: Eukaryota; Metazoa; Chordata; Mammalia; Rodentia; Sciuridae
Description: lncRNA (ENSSTOG00000030754.1)
Source: RNAcentral